CAGUAACCUGUUCUUCUGCCUUGUCUCAAAUCCCUUCAAAGUCAACCAGAAACUGGUCGCUUUCCAUCCUGAAUCAUGUUUGAUUUAUUGCAUUAUAUUGAUUGAGUUUCCGCUUUGGAAAAAGUGUUACAUUUUCUAAAGAAUGUGUUAGCAUUAAUGACUUUAAUUCAUUCUCCGUAACUUUAUGACAGACACUAAUUUACAUUUCCUCUGGAGUACCUGAUAGCAAAAGAAGUUCUGGCAUUUUAAUUUUUUUUUCAUGUAUACCACCAGGCUGAGCAAGAGGGGUGAAUAUAAGAACACAGCAUUAGGCGAGUACCUGUUUCAAGGAGUCAAGUUUCCCCUCGUCCCCACCCUACUCUUCCCCACCCCUGACACUCAGCCCCAGUGCACAGUUGUAUAUCCUAGUUGUAUGUGGGACACUGCCCCAGCAUGGCUUGACGAAUGAUGCUUGGUCCAUGUCCAGGAUCCAAACUGGUGAUCUACAGGCCGCCGAAGCGGAGCGCAGGAACUUAACCACUACACUGUCAUGGCCGGCCCUGAGGAGUGUUUAGAGUUACAAUAAGUGGUGGAAAAGUGCUCAACCAGUAAGCCCUUUCACAGUCACGGCGCUGACUGGGAAAAACAUAUGCACCUGAGCCCAGAUGGGGCAAAAUCCAAGAUGUGAAAAAUCUGCUAUGAAGGUCCCUCUGCUCUCUCCCCCACAGCAGCCAUCACUGUUGCAAUCAGAACACCACGCCAAGGGGCGGCCUCUUGAUUUUCUUGGUGUGCACUAUGAGGUGCUAAAGGGGCUGGUGCUGUUGAUGCUCCACUCAGAUUCCAAGUAUCACUUUGACUGGCUUGUUGAGCACAUUCCCAAACUGCCACCUACAUUGCCGCUGCUGAUUCACACCUAUAACCUUCUUUGGAGAACUUUCCUUGGGCAUUUGUAGCUGCUUUGCUUGCUUUGCGGGCUACGGGACAGACCAGGGAACUCCCAGAUCCCCCAGCAGCUGCUCUGACUACGGAUCUCCUUGGUGCCUGAUGUCUGGAUCUAUCCGGAGAAAGAUUUACCACAGCUGCUCAAGGAACAUGGAGCCAGAAUAAGAAAUUUUCCACUUAGACUUAUGGGAACAGCAAACUCAUUCAGGCACAAUCGAAAGCAGACCAAUCAAAAUGAGGGAUGAAGAUUCAUCACACUUCACUCAGCUGUCAAUACGUUAUAUGACGAAAGAUGAAUUUUAAAAAGAAGCCAAGAAGACACAAAAAUACCAAGUCCCUGGAAUUGGAAAUGGACACUGCUGAUCAUUUUCCAGUUGAUAUCACCUCCACUCAAGAAUACGCCAGAUCAAUUUGGAAUCUUGUAAUCUCAAAUACAAUUUCCAGCAAAGCCUGGCUGCUCCUGGACAAGUGCCCACUCGUCUACCAAUCAAUCUUGACCAGGGGACAGACACGUCAUAUUAACAUGGCUGCUCCAAUGGUAACUAGGGGGGUGGCAGAGAAGGAAGUCUCCAGGAAGGAAGCAGAGCAGACUGAGCAGACAAAACUGGGUUUCUACUACAGCAUCUUAUUCAUCAUUGUAUUCCUGUCUUCUCUUAAGUAACACACACCUUACUAACACACUAAUGAACUUAGCUCUUAGAACUGUGAUACACCAAAUUUUUGAAUGAAGUAAUUUAACAUAUUUUUACAAAAAACCAUAAAAUUAUACACGAGUAAACUGAGAACCAGCGAAAAUAAGUGACUCCUUCAAUGACACACGAAUGAUUAGUAACCAAAGGAGAAUCCAGAUCUCUAGAAGAUUAGUCUUAGACUUUUAUUUAAAUGUUUAUUAAGUGUUUAUUUUGUACCAGGAAAUUUGCUAAUUGCCUUACCAACAUUAUCUCAAUUAAUC
RNAcentral lists this long non-coding RNA (1873 nucleotides) under Equus caballus (horse). RNAcentral's name for it is "lncRNA (ENSECAG00000047234.1)". Lineage: Eukaryota; Metazoa; Chordata; Mammalia; Perissodactyla; Equidae. The record is from RNAcentral.